This 4050-nucleotide long non-coding RNA is filed under the name Homo sapiens (human). RNAcentral describes it as "HSALNT0188127". Lineage: Eukaryota; Metazoa; Chordata; Mammalia; Primates; Hominidae. The record is from RNAcentral.
AUUGGAAGUCAGGUGCAGAAACAGAAAUAAGAUAAUCUGUGUUUAUCUUAUUUGAACAGGGUUUGAACAGUCUGUGCCUGUGAAUGGUGCAAGUAUGGCUGCUGUGAUUGGCUGAGACUUCAUGGCUGCUUGUUACAGGAGUAAGUUACAGCCUGUUUACACAACCAGUUAGGUUACUUCACCAUGUAUGGUGAAAGCUUUAGGCCGAACUUAAAAUAUGUAAAGAGGGAGCUAUAGACUAAACUUAAUUUAACAAUACUUAUCGGUACAGUGUACUAAUUUUGCAUCUUUGAGAAUUUCAGUUACAUUGGCUACAGAUUGGAUCCUAAGCACACCACAUCUAUUUCUAUUGUGUAUAUCUGUGAUAUUGUGAAAUAUUUAUUUGGUCUUUGUCCCAUUUCCUGGCAUAAAAAUCUAAAAAUCCUUAGAAUGUCCAAAGUCGUGGGAGUCUUUUUUUACACUAAUGAGUUGACUGAUGGCUAGCAGUCCCUAGGUAGAUUCAGGAUGGGGCCUGGCCACUGGAAAGACAAAGGCAGGGUUAGAGGGUUGAGUUGAUCACCAAUGGCUGAGUUGAAUCAAUCACACCUAUAUAAUAAAGUUUUUUUUUUGAAAAAAAAAAACAAAAAGGCUGUGUUUAGGAGCUUCCAGAUAGCUGAACAUGUGGAGGUUCCUGGGGUUCCAUGCCCUUUCCCCCCCAUACCUUGCCCUAUGCAUCUCUUCUCAUCUGUAUCCUUUGCAAUAAACUGGUAAAUAUAUUUUUUUGAGUUCUGUGAGCUGCUCCAGCAAAUUAGUUGAACCCAAGGGAGGGGUCAUGGAAACUCUGAUUUAUAGCUGGUUGGUCAGUGCACAGGUAAAAUAACCUGGAGCUUGAGAUUUGUGUUGGAAGUGGAGAGCAGUCACGUGGGACUGAGCCCAUAACCUGUGGAAUCUGAGGCUGUGUCCAAGGAGAUAGUGUCAGAAUUAAAAUGAAUUAGAGGACAUCCAGCUGGUGUCCACUGCGGAACUAUGGACAUAUGGGGGAAAACCUUCACACAUCUGUUCUCCGAAGCACGUUGUGAGAGUAUAGGGGGAAAGCUGAGUUUGUUUAUUCCUACUGAGUUUAUUUAUUCCUACUGAGUUUAUUCCUAUAUUCUCAAUACCUAAUGUAAAUUCUAAGUAUUAUAAUUUCAUGGUAUAUAUUCCUAUUCCAGAAAAGCUAAAUUCGCCUAGAUUUUUGCCCAUAUUUUCCCCAGCACCUGGAAUAUUGCUUCAAACAUAUUAAGUUCUCAAUAAAUAUUUGCUAAAUGGGGUAAAUGUAACAAAUCAGUGGCAGAUGGGUUACCUACAAUGUAUAGAGUUGUCUUUCCCUAUGUAGUAUAGUUAUAAUGACAGGUUGAAGAAUGCAUAGUCCUGGCUUUACUAUUAAUUUGCUGUGACUUUAUUUUCCCUCUUCUUGUUCAUGGCAGAACCUAAAUUCUUAAUUGAAGGGAUUAGCAGGACUUAAAAUAAUAAAGGCUGAAAAUUGUUACUGAGAGCUGUGUCACUAUUGACUCUGUAAAGACAUUGGUGUUUCUAAACCAAACUCUUUCUCUAAUCGAAGAGACAUUUUGUCUCUCCACCAAAGCUGGUCAUCCAUACAACAAACAUAGUAACCAGUUAAUAAUUAUCAUACACUUACCAUGUGCCAGGCACUGUGUCAAGUACUUUAUAUUAACCCCAUUUAAUCCUCACAACAACCCUAUGAGGGAGUGAUAGGAUUAGGCUUUGUCUCCCCACCCAAAACUCAUCUUGAAUUAUAAUCCCCAUAAUCCCCACGUGUCAAGGGAGAGUCCAGGUGGAAGUAAUUGAAUAAUGGGGGCAGUUACCCCCUGCUUUUCUUAUGAUAGUGAGUUCUCACGAGAGCUGAUGGUUUUAGAAGGGGCUUUUCCCUGCUUCACUUGGCACUUCUUCCUGUUGCCUCGUGAAGAAGGUGCCUUGCUUCCCCUUCACCUUCUGCCAUGAUUCUAAGUUUCCUGAGGCCUCCCCAGCCAUGCUGAACUGUGAGUCAAUUAAACCUCUUUCCUUUGUAACUUACCCAGUAUCAGGCAGUUCUUUAUAGCAGUGUGAGAACGAACUAAUACAGGGAGGUACUGUAAUUAUCUCCAUUUUACACAUGGGGAAGUAGAUCUUAGAGGUGGUUAUGCAUUUUACCCAGUAUCACACCCUUAGCAGUAGUAGAACUGAGAUUUGCAUCCUGGCAGUCUGGACCCAGAGCCAACACUAUUGACUACUUCAGGUCUUUUCAUUUAAGGUUGAGGCAUGACAGUGACGAAGAGCUGUCUUCCUCUGCUUCCAUGUUAAUAACAGCAGGGCCAAAUUUUCAACUGUCUAGUAAGAACUUUGGGGGACAAUUUUAUGCUUUGCUUUCCUUAAGCCGUUUGUAAGUGUGUUUAAUAUGAUUUUCAAGUCUCAAAGUAUAAGGUUAAUUCUUUAAUAUUGCCUCAUAUUUCAGUGUGUGCAGUUGUGUGGGCCACUAUUUGAAGGUGAAGUGUUACAUAACGUCAUUUUUAAUCUUUAUUUUUCACUUAAAUAGGAUAUAUUUCAGUAUUACAAUUAAUGUCCUUCAUGACUUUAAAGGAUCAAUGCCAAGUAGCACUGUUUCCAAAAUUAGAAUUUUCCAGAGUUGGCAUAAUAUCAGUUGGAUAGUAUUUUAUAAUUUUUGGGGGGAAUAUAAGUAUGAGAACCUCACAAUUGUUCCCUUCAAUUUCUCCCCUCUAGGCCUUUAUACUAUUGUUGCAUGUAUUUUUCUUAUGCAUGUUAUACUGGCACAUAUUUUUUUGCCAGGGUACGUACACUUUAAAUCCAUAUUACAGGGAUAUUAUUUAAACAUAAUUUUCUAUAUAGAGAUUUGCAUAUAAAACUAUGUAAGUGCACAAUAUAUAUCAUUUUUAAUUCUUUCUUACUUUGGCACUUAAUUUUUAGAGCUUGUAUUAUAUGCCUUAACUCCUUGAUGAGAUUAAAAGUAGCAUUUUGUUUAAAACAUAACAAAACAAAAACAAAGAUACUCAGACUCACAUUGUGGUACACAGUAUUUUAAUAAGAAGUAACUUCAUGUCUAUUAAAGAGGCCUUAAAAAUAUUGUUUCAACACCAAAAAAACCUGUAGUGUAUUAUAAUAAACUCUAUGUAUUUACCAUGCAUUUUGUACAUUUUUAUUUAUUUUAUUUUUAUUUAUUUAUUUAUUUUUGAGACAGAAUCUUACUCUGUCACCCAGGCUUGAGUGUAGUGGUGCAAUCUUGAUUCACUGCAACCUCUGCCUCCCAGGUUCAGGUGAUUCUCCCUCCUUAGCCUCCCGUGUAGCUGGAACUACAGGUACGCACCAACACACCCAACUAAUUUUUUGUAUUUUUAGUAGAGACAAAGUUUCACCAUAUUGUCCAGGCUGGUCUUGAACUCCUGACCUCAAGUGAUCCACCCACCUCGGCCUCCCAAAGUGCUAGGAUUACAAGCAUGAGCCACUGCUCCUGGCCUUUAUUUUUCUUUUUUAAUAGAUAUGGGGUCUCACUAUGUUGCCCAGACUGGUCUCAAACUCCUGGGCUCAAGUGAUUUUCCCUCCUUGGUCUCAUAAAGUGCUGGGAUUACAGGCGUGAGCCACUGCACCUGCCGUAUCAUACUCUUUUAAUUAUAUCUCUGGUUCUUUCCUCGGUUUGGUAUCUGAAGGAUUCCUUCAAAGUAGCUAUGACUUGAUUAUUUUGCAGAGAAAUAUACACUCCUUCACAGCCCCAAAACCUGUUUCAGUGGAAAAAGUUGUUCCUUUCUUUUUGUUCUCAUAGACCCAGGAGAAGUUGCGAGAAAAGUCACUGAAAAUGGCUAGUGGCCCAAUAUCACUAACACACCCUAAAUCUGUUCCUUCUACUCUCAGAUAUUUCCCUGAUGAUGUCAAGCAUGAAACAGAGCAGCAUGUUAGACCCAUAAGAUUUGACAGGGAAUUGUACAUUGAUAUACAAAAUGUACUUGAUGAAAAUACAGUUCAUUUUUUUUAAUCCAUGGAGACCUAAAAAUACACAUAAGUAUAGUAUUUGGUUUGAUUUAC